CCUACGGGGGGCAGCAGUAGGGAAUAUUGCUCAAUGGGGGAAACCCUGAAGCAGCAACGCCGCGUGGAGGAUGAAGGUUUUCGGAUUGUAAACUCCUUUUGUUAGAGAAGAGAAUGACGGUAGCUAACGAAUAAGCACCGGCGAACUCCGUGCCAGCAGCCGCGGUAAUACGGAGGGUGCAAGCGUUACUCGGAACCACUGGGCGUAAAGAGCGCGUAGGCGGGAUAGCAAGUCAGAUGUGAAAUCCUAGGGCUUAACCAUAGAACGGCAUUUGAAACUGUUAUUCUAGAGUAUGGGAGUGGUCGCUGGCAUUCUUGUUGUAGUGGUCACCUCCGUAGCGUUC
RNAcentral lists this ribosomal RNA (343 nucleotides) under uncultured bacterium. RNAcentral describes it as "partial 16S ribosomal RNA". It matches the Rfam family "Bacterial small subunit ribosomal RNA", at positions 338 to 698 of the family's 1533-position model. The record is from RNAcentral.